This is a non-coding RNA of Podarcis lilfordi (Lilford's wall lizard), 122 nucleotides long. Lineage: Eukaryota; Metazoa; Chordata; Lepidosauria; Squamata; Lacertidae. The record is from the annotation of a GenBank genome assembly.
GUGGUUGGACGGCAUCUAAUCUCUCUCUCUCUCUCUCUCUCUCUCUCACACACACACACACACACACAGAGAGAGAGAGAGAGAGAGAGAGAGAGAGAGAGAGUGUAUUGGUGAGUUUUCUU